ACAACUGUGGCGCAAUGGUAGCGCAUCGCCUCUUGUUCUAAACGAGAAGAUCUUCAUUGGAUAAGGCACAUCUUGGAUAGAGAAGCAAGUGAGCGAAGAGUCCAGGUUCAAUUCCUGGCAGUUGUG
Molecule: transfer RNA, 126 nt
Filed under: Aureobasidium subglaciale EXF-2481
Lineage: Eukaryota; Fungi; Ascomycota; Dothideomycetes; Dothideales; Saccotheciaceae
Rfam family: tRNA
About the family: Transfer RNA (tRNA) molecules are approximately 80 nucleotides in length. Their secondary structure includes four short double-helical elements and three loops (D, anti-codon, and T loops). Further hydrogen bonds mediate the characteristic L-shaped molecular structure. tRNAs have two regions of fundamental functional importance: the anti-codon, which is responsible for specific mRNA codon recognition, and the 3' end, to which the tRNAs corresponding amino acid is attached (by aminoacyl-tRNA synthetases). tRNAs cope with the degeneracy of the genetic code in two manners: having more than one tRNA (with a specific anti-codon) for a particular amino acid; and 'wobble' base-pairing, i.e. permitting non-standard base-pairing at the 3rd anti-codon position.
Source: Rfam by way of RNAcentral